GCUCAGGACGAACGCUGGCGGCGUGCCUAAUACAUGCAAGUCGAGCGGACAGAUGGGAGCUUGCUCCCUGAUGUUAGCGGCGGACGGGUGAGUAACACGUGGGUAACCUGCCUGUAAGACUGGGAUAACUCCGGGAAACCGGGGCUAAUACCGGAUGCUUGAUUGAACCGCAUGGUUCAAUUAUAAAAGGUGGCUUUUAGCUACCACUUACAGAUGGACCCGCGGCGCAUUAGCUAGUUGGUGAGGUAAUGGCUCACCAAGGCAACGAUGCGUAGCCGACCUGAGAGGGUGAUCGGCCACACUGGGACUGAGACACGGCCCAGACUCCUACGGGAGGCAGCAGUAGGGAAUCUUCCGCAAUGGACGAAAGUCUGACGGAGCAACGCCGCGUGAGUGAUGAAGGUUUUCGGAUCGUAAAACUCUGUUGUUAGGGAAGAACAAGUACCGUUCGAAUAGGGCGGUACCUUGACGGUACCUAACCAGAAAGCCACGGCUAACUACGUGCCAGCAGCCGCGGUAAUACGUAGGUGGCAAGCGUUGUCCGGAAUUAUUGGGCGUAAAGCGCGCGCAGGCGGUUUCUUAAGUCUGAUGUGAAAGCCCCCGGCUCAACCGGGGAGGGUCAUUGGAAACUGGGGAACUUGAGUGCAGAAGAGGAGAGUGGAAUUCCACGUGUAGCGGUGAAAUGCGUAGAGAUGUGGAGGAACACCAGUGGCGAAGGCGACUCUCUGGUCUGUAACUGACGCUGAGGCGCGAAAGCGUGGGGAGCGAACAGGAUUAGAUACCCUGGUAGUCCACGCCGUAAACGAUGAGUGCUAAGUGUUAGAGGGUUUCCGCCCUUUAGUGCUGCAGCAAACGCAUUAAGCACUCCGCCUGGGGAGU
Molecule: ribosomal RNA, 879 nt
Filed under: uncultured bacterium
Lineage: Bacteria
Description: bacterial SSU rRNA
Rfam family: Bacterial small subunit ribosomal RNA
Source: RNAcentral